GACUCUUUAUGAUUAAAUCUCAAACAAAAUGUGUCUCCUUACAAAGCUCAUAUGCACUUAUCUAUUGUGCAAACAAGUAGCAUAUGAGCUUUGUAAGUAGACUCACCAAAUCAAUUAAGGGAAAUAACAUAGAUGGAUUUCAAAACAUAAGCAAAAGCAGAAAGCUCAAAAGCAUGUUUAUAUAAAAGAUGUUGAGCAAUGAUUGAUUAUAGAAUGCAGCAUUCUUGAAGGCUUUCUUCAUGCGUACGUCUUUUCAGCUCAUCCAAGUUAUUCUUCAUAUCAUGUUUUUCAUUCUCACGAGCUUCUUCUCUUUUAUCAAAGAGCUUCUCUUGCGCUUCCACAACUAUUUUAAUGUUUUUCACCAUAUGAGAAAAAGAAACAAGUUUCGUUAAUUAAAGCGUAACCCCUUAGGACUUGUGAGUUGUGAGCAGCAUAUUGGAUACUAACAGAUCUAAUACUCAUAUUUGUUUCUAAAUCUACAUCUUAGGCAACUUCUGAACUCGAGUACAGAAAUAGUUAAACCAUAAAAAUUGAUAGAUGCAAAGUUAUAACAACAAAAAAGAAAAAAAAAUGGCGAGAAAAGGACAAACUUGAUUUUAAAGAG
Molecule: long non-coding RNA, 604 nt
Filed under: Arabidopsis lyrata
Lineage: Eukaryota; Viridiplantae; Streptophyta; Magnoliopsida; Brassicales; Brassicaceae
Description: long non-coding RNA (ALYR_LNC003142)
Source: RNAcentral